AGUAGAGAUGGGGUUUCACCAUGUUGGUCAGGCUGGUCUUGAACUCCUGACCUCGGGUGAUCCA
This 64-nucleotide microRNA precursor is filed under the name Chlorocebus sabaeus (green monkey). RNAcentral's name for it is "miRNA (ENSCSAG00000024641.1)". The record is from RNAcentral. Lineage: Eukaryota; Metazoa; Chordata; Mammalia; Primates; Cercopithecidae.